UACGAAGGGGGCUAGCGUUGCUCGGAAUCACUGGGCGUAAAGCGCACGUAGGCGGACUCUUAAGUCGGUGGUGAAAUCCUGGAGCUCAACUCCAGAACUGCCUUCGAUACUGGGAGUCUCGAGUCCGGGAGAGGUGAGUGGAACUGCGAGUGUAGAGGUGAAAUGCGUAGAGAUGUGGAGGAACACCAGUGGCGAAGGCGACUCUUUGGCCUGUAACUGACACUGAGGCGCGAAAGCGUGGGGAGCAAACAGG
RNAcentral lists this ribosomal RNA (253 nucleotides) under uncultured bacterium. RNAcentral describes it as "partial 16S ribosomal RNA". It matches the Rfam family "Bacterial small subunit ribosomal RNA", at positions 524 to 776 of the family's 1533-position model. The record is from RNAcentral.